GAUGAACGCUGGCGGCGUGCCUAAUACAUGCAAGUCGAGCGAACGGACGAGAAGCUUGCUUCUCUGAUGUUAGCGGCGGACGGGUGAGUAACACGUGGAUAACCUACCUAUAAGACUGGGAUAACUUCGGGAAACCGUAGCUAAUACCGGAUAAUAUUUUGAACCGCAUGGUUCAAAAGUGAAAGACGGUCUUGCUGUCACUUAUAGAUGGAUCCGCGCUGCAUUAGCUAGUUGGUAAGGUAACGGCUUACCAAGGCAACGAUGCAUAGCCGACCUGAGAGGGUGAUAGGCCACACUGGAACUGAGCCACGGUCCAGACUCCUACGGGAGGCAGCAGUAGGGAAUCUUCCGCAAUGGGCGAAAGCCUGACGGAGCAACGCCGAGUGAGUGAUGAAGGUCUUCGGAUCGUAAAACUCUGUUAUUAGGGAAGAACAUAUGUGUAAGUAACUGUGCACAUCUUGACGGUACCUAAUCAGAAAGCCACGGCUAACUACGUG
RNAcentral lists this ribosomal RNA (497 nucleotides) under uncultured bacterium. RNAcentral's name for it is "partial 16S ribosomal RNA". It matches the Rfam family "Bacterial small subunit ribosomal RNA", at positions 28 to 507 of the family's 1533-position model. The record is from RNAcentral.